Molecule: non-coding RNA, 26 nt
Filed under: Mus musculus (house mouse)
Lineage: Eukaryota; Metazoa; Chordata; Mammalia; Rodentia; Muridae
Source: RNAcentral
UGGCUUUGUUUACAGCUGAAACAAAU